This 203-nucleotide non-coding RNA is filed under the name Daphnia magna. Its description in RNAcentral is "Eukaryotic large subunit ribosomal RNA". It matches the Rfam family "Eukaryotic large subunit ribosomal RNA", at positions 1 to 188 of the family's 3401-position model. The record is from Rfam by way of RNAcentral. Lineage: Eukaryota; Metazoa; Arthropoda; Branchiopoda; Diplostraca; Daphniidae.
UGACCUCAGUUUAGAUGAGACUACCCGCUGAACUUAAGCAUAUCAGUAAGCGGAGGAAAAGAAACUAACAAGGAUUCCCUUAGUAGCGGCGAGCGAACAGGGAUGAGCCCAGCACCGAACCUCGCGCCCGGUUGAGCGGGUGCCGAGGAAUGUGGUGUUCGGGAGGAUCGUGCGCGCCUGUCCGGUAUAUAUCGUCCAAGUCU